RNAcentral lists this ribosomal RNA (351 nucleotides) under Triticum aestivum (bread wheat). RNAcentral's name for it is "partial small subunit ribosomal RNA". The record is from RNAcentral. Lineage: Eukaryota; Viridiplantae; Streptophyta; Magnoliopsida; Poales; Poaceae.
AUGCUUAAAGCUGGACUAAUCGUGCCUAGUACCAGUCCGUUCUCCUCGCCUGUUCUGUUAGUGAAAAAGAAAGAUAUGACAUGGCGCCUCUGCGUGGACUAUCGUCACCUGAAUGCAAUUACACUAAAAAGCACCUAUCCAUUGCCAGUCAUUGACGAGCUGCUCGAUGAGCUUGCAGGAUCGUGUUGGUUCUCAAAGAUGGAUCUACGAGCGGGCUACCACCAAAUCAGGUUGAGAGAAGAAGAUGAACCAAAAACAGCCUUUACAACCCAUCAAGGGCACUUUCAGUUUCGGGUGUUGCCGUAUGGUGUGACCGGAGGGCCAGCAACAUUCCAAGGAGGGAUGAACACA